Molecule: ribosomal RNA, 481 nt
Filed under: uncultured bacterium
Lineage: Bacteria
Description: partial 16S ribosomal RNA
Rfam family: Bacterial small subunit ribosomal RNA
Source: RNAcentral
GACGAACGCUGGCGGCGUGCUUAACACAUGCAAGUCGAGCGGAAAGGCCACUUCGGUGGUACUCGAGCGGCGAACGGGUGAGUAACACGUGAGUAAUCUGCCCCUGGCUUUGGGAUAGCCACCGGAAACGGUGAUUAAUACCGGAUACGACCACUUCUCGCAUGGGAUGGUGGUGGAAAGUUUUUUCGGCCAGGGAUGUGCUCGCGGCCUAUCAGCUUGAUGGUGAGGUAAUGGCUCACCAUGGCUUCGACGGGUAGCCGGCCUGAGAGGGUGACCGGUCACACUCGGACUGAGACACGGCGCAGACUCCUACGGGAGGCAGCAGGGGGGAAUAUUGGACAAUGGGCGGAAGCAUGUUCCAGCAACGCCGCGUGAGGGAUGACGGCCUUCGGGUUGUAAACCUCUUUCAGCAGGGACGAAGCGCAAGUGACGGUACCUGCAGAAGAAGCACCGGCCAUCUACGUGCCAGCCGCCGCCGUAA